Molecule: ribosomal RNA, 491 nt
Filed under: uncultured bacterium
Lineage: Bacteria
Description: partial 16S ribosomal RNA
Rfam family: Bacterial small subunit ribosomal RNA
Source: RNAcentral
AGUGAACGCUGGCGGUAGGCCUAACACAUGCAAGUCGAACGGCAGCACAGUAAGAGCUUGCUCUUACGGGUGGCGAGUGGCGGACGGGUGAGGAAUACAUCGGAAUCUACUUUUUCGUGGGGGAUAACGUAGGGAAACUUACGCUAAUACCGCAUACGACCUACGGGUGAAAGCAGGGGAUCUUCGGACCUUGCGCGAUUGAAUGAGCCGAUGUCGGAUUGGCUAUUUGGCGGGGUAAAGGCCCACCAAGGCGACGAUCCGAGCUGGUCUGAGAGGAUGAUCAGCCACACUGGAACUGAGACACGGUCCAGACUCCUACGGGAGGCAGCAGUGGGGAAUAUUGGACAAUGGGCGCAAGCCUGAUCCAGCCAUACCGCGUGGGUGAAGAAGGCCUUCGGGUUGUAAAGCCCUUUUGUUGGGAAAGAAAAGCAGCAGGUUAAUACCCCGCUGUUCUGACGGUACCCAAAGAAUAAGCACCGGCUAACUUCGUG